ACUACAAAAUGGGGAAAAAAUGGCGCCCAAUUUAUAGCGGUUAUAUGAUCAAAGCGCUAUAAAAAUUAAUACGGAGCCCUUAGAUAGCGCUUAUUGAAAAAGUCGCUAUCUGAGGUUUCAAUUUUCAUAGCUCUUUUAUUUGAAAGCGCUUUCAUAGUAUUAAUAAAAAAAAGUUAAAAAUGUAAAAAAAGUGCAUUGAUAAACUUAUAUAGCGCGUGAUUCUAAAAGCGCUAUUUAUCAUUAAAUAGCGUUUGCGAAAGCGCUAUCUUAGAUAAGACAUUUAAUAGCGUUUAUGUAUUAGAAAAAGCGCUAUGUGUACAUAAAAGUUAUUAGCGUUUAUAUAUUAGAAAAAGCGCUAUGUAUCUAUAAAAUUUAAUUGGCCGAGUG
Molecule: long non-coding RNA, 387 nt
Filed under: Medicago truncatula (barrel medic)
Lineage: Eukaryota; Viridiplantae; Streptophyta; Magnoliopsida; Fabales; Fabaceae
Description: long non-coding RNA (MTRU_LNC004167)
Source: RNAcentral